AAGAAAGGAAACAUGAAAACAAAUAUGGGUUGCCAAAUGGAAAGUGUAAAAAAUGUUCUGACGAAGAAAAUAACCAUCGCAUCGUUCAAUAUAAAAUUGCAAUAAACGGACACUUUAAAAUUGAGAUUGGUUGAGCAGAAUAAUACAUGGCCAUGCGUGCUGCAGAGAAAGGUAGUGAUUUUAAUUUGUAAAAGAUGAGCUA
Non-coding RNA from Paramuricea clavata, 202 nucleotides. The record is from the annotation of a GenBank genome assembly. NCBI's taxonomy places the organism in Eukaryota, Metazoa, Cnidaria, Anthozoa, Malacalcyonacea, Plexauridae.